Molecule: ribosomal RNA, 253 nt
Filed under: uncultured bacterium
Lineage: Bacteria
Description: partial 16S ribosomal RNA
Rfam family: Bacterial small subunit ribosomal RNA
Source: RNAcentral
UACAUGGGGUGCAAACGUUGCUCGGAAUUAUUGGGCGUAAAGCGCACGUAGGCGGUUCGUUAAGUCAGAUGUGAAAGCCCUCGGCUCAACCGAGGAAGUGCAUCUGAAACUGGCGAGCUAGAGUACGGAAGAGGCGAGUGGAAUUCCUGGUGUAGCGGUGGAAUGCGCAGAUAUCAGGAGGAACACCAAUAGCGAAGGCAGCUCGCUGGGACGUUACUGACACUGAGGCGCGAAAGCGUGGGGAGCGAACAGG